This is a long non-coding RNA of Fukomys damarensis (Damara mole-rat), 855 nucleotides long. RefSeq lists it as uncharacterized. The transcript is spliced from 4 exons. The record is from RefSeq and is a predicted model, not a curated record. Lineage: Eukaryota; Metazoa; Chordata; Mammalia; Rodentia; Bathyergidae.
GGCCAUCUUUUCAAAACUUCAUCUCUGAACACGAGGCUCGUGGGGAGACAUUGCAGAUUUAAAUCAUAACAGGACUGAGACAGGGCCUGCAAAUCUAAUGGGAAGGCUGUCCGGUUACCAUGGGAACCAGCUGGGAGUGGCCAACGUGGACGGGAAAUCUUAAUCACUUUAACAGAAGGGAUGGAUCAUAUUUAUAAGCGGAAGAAACCAGGACAGGGAGGAAGGAAAGAUUCGAGAUGUAGGAGAGAGAAGACGAUGCUGAAAGUGUUUGAGGGAUUUGUGUGUGGGAUGAACCCCAACUGCCAGGGGAGAAAUCAGACCAGAGGGGCAGAGGCGCCUCUCCGGAAGAAACCAAGUUCUAUUUCCCUCCACUCCCCUCGCCUCUCAAGAUGUUCAGGAAAUACCUGUGAGAUCCAUGAAGGAAUCUAGGAACUUGGUCUCAUGAUGUGCCAUCAGCUUCUACUGCAUGUCAAGUGUCUGCUUAGGGUCUCUAGGUGCUCGGUACAGGGGAGUUGUGACUGUGGAAAUACAAUAUCAAGCAUGUUCUGUUGUGGUUGUUGUUGAAGUUCCAGUUGAUGAACUAUUGUGGUUUAAGGUGGAACUCAAUGUUUGCUCGUAUGAAUAUUGGGAAAGAUGAGAACUGUAUUUUAAUUCCCCACUAGCACCACAGCUUCAGAAAACUUAGCCCAACCUUCCUGAAGAUCCUUCUCACAUGAACAGUAUCAACGGCUGUCUUUUUAUGGCCCUGUUAGUUCUGAAUAAAAUCAUAUGCUGCACAUGUUCUGAGGGGAAGACAUUCAUUCAUACGCUCUCAGUGUUCUCCCUCCCUCCCUUCUUCCUUCCUCUUUUACUCCU